This 305-nucleotide ribosomal RNA is filed under the name uncultured bacterium. Its description in RNAcentral is "bacterial SSU rRNA". It matches the Rfam family "Bacterial small subunit ribosomal RNA", at positions 333 to 655 of the family's 1533-position model. The record is from RNAcentral.
ACAUGCCUACGGGACGCAGCAGUAGGGAAUCUUCCACAAUGGGCGAAAGCCUGAUGGAGCAACGCCGCGUGAGUGAAGAAGUAUUUCGAUAUGUAAAGCUCUAUCAGCAGGGAAGAAGAUGACGGUACCUGAUUAAGAAGCCCCGGCUAACUACGUGCCAGCAGCCGCGGUAAUACGUAGGGGGCAAGCGUUAUCCGGAUUUACUGGGUGUAAAGGGAGCGUAGACGGCAUAGCAAGUCUGAAGUGGAAGCCCAAGGCUCAACCAUGGGACUGCUUUGGAAACUGUUAAGCUAGAGGGCUGGAGG